This 578-nucleotide ribosomal RNA is filed under the name uncultured bacterium. RNAcentral's name for it is "bacterial SSU rRNA". It matches the Rfam family "Bacterial small subunit ribosomal RNA", at positions 813 to 1390 of the family's 1533-position model. The record is from RNAcentral.
CGACUUGGAGGUUGUGCCCUUGAGGCGUGGCUUCCGGAGCUAACGCGUUAAGUCGACCGCCUGGGGGAGUACGGCCGCAAGGUUAAAACUCAAAUGAAUUGACGGGGGCCCGCACAAGCGGUGGAGCAUGUGGUUUAAUUCGAUGCAACGCGAAGAACCUUACCUGGUCUUGACAUCCACGGAAGUUUUCAGGGAUGAGAAUGUGCCUUCGGGAACCGUGAGACAGGUGCUGCAUGGCUGUCGUCAGCUCGUGUUGUGAAAUGUUGGGUUAAGUCCCGCAACGAGCGCAACCCUUAUCCUUUGUUGCCAGCGGUCCGGCCGGGAACUCAAAGGAGACUGCCAGUGAUAAACUAGAGGAAGGUGGGGAUGACGUCAAGUCAUCAUGGCCCUUACGACCAGGGCUACACACGUGCUACAAUGGCGCAUACAAAGAGAAGCGACCUCGCGAGAGCAAGCGGACCUCAUAAAGUGCGUCGUAGUCCGGAUUGGAGUCUGCAACUCGACUCCAUGAAGUCGGAAUCGCUAGUAAUCGUGGAUCAGAAUGCCACGGUGAAUACGUUCCCGGGCCUUGUACACAC